This 274-nucleotide ribosomal RNA is filed under the name uncultured bacterium. RNAcentral describes it as "partial 16S ribosomal RNA". It matches the Rfam family "Bacterial small subunit ribosomal RNA", at positions 523 to 796 of the family's 1533-position model. The record is from RNAcentral.
AUACGGGGGGUGCAAGCGUUAAUCGGAAUUACUGGGCGUAAAGCGUACGUAGGCGGUUCGUUAAGUUAGAUGUGAAAGCCCCGGGCUUAACCUGGGAACUGCAUUUAAAACUGGCGUACUAGAGUUGAGUAGAGGGGAGUGGAAUUUCAGGUGUAGCGGUGAAAUGCGUAGAGAUCUGAAGGAACACCAGUGGCGAAGGCGACUCCCUGGACUCGAACUGACGCUGAGGUACGAAAGCGUGGGUAGCAAACGGGAUUAGAAACCCUAGUAGUCC